This 955-nucleotide ribosomal RNA is filed under the name Klebsiella pneumoniae MGH 74. Its description in RNAcentral is "bacterial SSU rRNA". It matches the Rfam family "Bacterial small subunit ribosomal RNA", at positions 8 to 954 of the family's 1533-position model. The record is from RNAcentral. Lineage: Bacteria; Pseudomonadati; Pseudomonadota; Gammaproteobacteria; Enterobacterales; Enterobacteriaceae.
AGAGUUUGAUCAUGGCUCAGAUUGAACGCUGGCGGCAGGCCUAACACAUGCAAGUCGAGCGGUAGCACAGAGAGCUUGCUCUCGGGUGACGAGCGGCGGACGGGUGAGUAAUGUCUGGGAAACUGCCUGAUGGAGGGGGAUAACUACUGGAAACGGUAGCUAAUACCGCAUAACGUCGCAAGACCAAAGUGGGGGACCUUCGGGCCUCAUGCCAUCAGAUGUGCCCAGAUGGGAUUAGCUAGUAGGUGGGGUAACGGCUCACCUAGGCGACGAUCCCUAGCUGGUCUGAGAGGAUGACCAGCCACACUGGAACUGAGACACGGUCCAGACUCCUACGGGAGGCAGCAGUGGGGAAUAUUGCACAAUGGGCGCAAGCCUGAUGCAGCCAUGCCGCGUGUGUGAAGAAGGCCUUCGGGUUGUAAAGCACUUUCAGCGGGGAGGAAGGCGUUAAGGUUAAUAACCUUGGCGAUUGACGUUACCCGCAGAAGAAGCACCGGCUAACUCCGUGCCAGCAGCCGCGGUAAUACGGAGGGUGCAAGCGUUAAUCGGAAUUACUGGGCGUAAAGCGCACGCAGGCGGUCUGUCAAGUCGGAUGUGAAAUCCCCGGGCUCAACCUGGGAACUGCAUUCGAAACUGGCAGGCUAGAGUCUUGUAGAGGGGGGUAGAAUUCCAGGUGUAGCGGUGAAAUGCGUAGAGAUCUGGAGGAAUACCGGUGGCGAAGGCGGCCCCCUGGACAAAGACUGACGCUCAGGUGCGAAAGCGUGGGGAGCAAACAGGAUUAGAUACCCUGGUAGUCCACGCCGUAAACGAUGUCGAUUUGGAGGUUGUGCCCUUGAGGCGUGGCUUCCGGAGCUAACGCGUUAAAUCGACCGCCUGGGGAGUACGGCCGCAAGGUUAAAACUCAAAUGAAUUGACGGGGGCCCGCACAAGCGGUGGAGCAUGUGGUUUAAUUCGA